GACGUAGGGGGCCAGCGUUGCUCGGAAUUACUGGGCGUAAAGGGUCCGUAGGCGGUGUGGUAAGUCGGGAGUGAAAUCUCUGGGCUUAACUCAGAGGCUGCUUCCGAAACUGCCGUGCUAGAGUGCGAGAGAGGCAAGUGGAAUUGCGGGUGUAGCGGUGAAAUGCGUAGAUAUCCGUAGGAACAUCCGAGGCGAAAGCGGCUCGCUGGAUCACAACUGACGCUGAGGGACGAAAGCUAGGGGAGCAAACAGG
This 253-nucleotide ribosomal RNA is filed under the name uncultured bacterium. RNAcentral's name for it is "partial 16S ribosomal RNA". It matches the Rfam family "Bacterial small subunit ribosomal RNA", at positions 524 to 776 of the family's 1533-position model. The record is from RNAcentral.